AUGGCGACCGGCGCACGGGUGAGUAACGCGUAUCCAACCUUCCCCCUACUCGGCAAUAGCCCGUCGAAAGGCGGAUUAAUGGCCGAUGCAGUUCAUUGAUGACAUCAGAUUUGAACGAAAGCCUUCUGGCGGUAUGGGAUGGGGAUGCGUCUGAUUAGGCAGUUGGCGGGGUAACGGCCCACCAAACCGACGAUCAGUAGGGGUUCUGAGAGGAAGGUCCCCCACAUUGGAACUGAGACACGGUCCAAACUCCUACGGGAGGCAGCAGUGAGGAAUAUUGGUCAAUGGGCGGAAGCCUGAACCAGCCAAGUAGCGUGAAGGAUGACGG
Molecule: ribosomal RNA, 328 nt
Filed under: uncultured Prevotellaceae bacterium
Lineage: Bacteria; Pseudomonadati; Bacteroidota; Bacteroidia; Bacteroidales; Prevotellaceae
Description: bacterial SSU rRNA
Rfam family: Bacterial small subunit ribosomal RNA
Source: RNAcentral